CAGGGUGUAGCUCAGUGGUAGAGCACUUGCCUAGCAUGCACAAGACUGGAUUUAAUUCCUAGCACCAUAA
Molecule: transfer RNA, 70 nt
Filed under: Marmota monax (woodchuck)
Lineage: Eukaryota; Metazoa; Chordata; Mammalia; Rodentia; Sciuridae
Also listed under: 2 other names
Rfam family: tRNA
About the family: Transfer RNA (tRNA) molecules are approximately 80 nucleotides in length. Their secondary structure includes four short double-helical elements and three loops (D, anti-codon, and T loops).
Source: Rfam by way of RNAcentral